CGCGGGAUGGAGCAGCAUGGUAGCUCGUCGGGCUCAUAACCCGAAGGUCGUCGGUUCAAAUCCGGCUCCCGCAACCA
This 77-nucleotide transfer RNA is filed under the name Shewanella putrefaciens. RNAcentral describes it as "tRNA-Met". It matches the Rfam family "tRNA". From Rfam's summary of the family: Transfer RNA (tRNA) molecules are approximately 80 nucleotides in length. The record is from RNAcentral. Lineage: Bacteria; Pseudomonadati; Pseudomonadota; Gammaproteobacteria; Alteromonadales; Shewanellaceae. RNAcentral also lists the same sequence under 264 other names.